GGAAUCUUCCACAAUGGGCGCAAGCCUGAUGGAGCAACACCGCGUGAGUGAAGAAGGUCUUCGGAUCGUAAAGCUCUGUUGUUGGUGAAGAAGGAUAGAGGCAGUAACUGGUCUUUAUUUGACGGUAAUCAACCAGAAAGUCACGGCUAACUACGUGCCAG
This 161-nucleotide ribosomal RNA is filed under the name uncultured bacterium. Its description in RNAcentral is "partial 16S rRNA". It matches the Rfam family "Bacterial small subunit ribosomal RNA", at positions 358 to 511 of the family's 1533-position model. The record is from RNAcentral.